CAGAGUUGACUUGUCGUGGCAACGGUUGCUAGGCGUUGUAAAACCGGGCUGGUCAGGCUUUACCUUGUUCCUGAAGUUCAGUUGCUCCUAGUUUGUGUAUUCAAGUUAGGAUAAGAUAAAACAAAGGCCUACCUUUUUUUUUUUUUUAAACUACGUAGGGCAGAGAGAUUUGAAGAACCACUUAAAUUGGGGGGAAUGGGUUAAAGCAGAAGAGAAAGGCUACAAGACAGAUGACGUCUAUGCCAACCCCUCUACAAGGGAACAGCCCUGAGACUGGAUGAGACAGGAUAAGUCUUGUUGGCUGAGAAGCACUUUAAAAAGAGAAGAAGAAGAAGCAGUGAUCCUAGCUACGGUACACGGGAGAGCUUGCCCUGACCCUCACCUGCUGUAGCACUGGGGAGUAAGCGGUCCUAGCACCACACUUGGGCAUCAUAAUAGUGCUGGUGGUGUGGGUGCAGGUGAGGUGAUCCUGAGGGUGUGAGAGCAGGAGACCUGGCCCUGCUCCUUGCUGCUUUCAGCUUUGGAUGGAUUAGCUGAGGUAAUGCUGAAGAGCUCACCCUGGUGGUGAGGAUGUGGGAGAGUUGGCAGGCUAAACAACUUAGCUACCACCCAGGUCCAGCUCCAGGGCUAUCAGUUGACCAUCCCAACAUCCACCCCAUCUAUGAACUGCUGGAGCUUGUGAAGGGUCCAGUCCUGCAGAUGCAAAGCUACAGAAUCUCCAUGACACAAGGCAACAGCGGGACAUCUGAGAGAAGUCCUAGUGAGGAUUCAAUAUUGAUGGUGGAGUAGAAGCCAGAGGCCUCAAACCAGACCAAAGACUCAUUGCAAUGAACAAGAUGUAUGGGUUAUGUGACUCAUGGUGGCACAUUACACUUUCCACAAUGAAAUGGUUUUUAAUUUAAUUUUAUUUUGGAGGGGAGGUUGCAUGGGC
This is a non-coding RNA of Myodes glareolus (Bank vole), 931 nucleotides long. Lineage: Eukaryota; Metazoa; Chordata; Mammalia; Rodentia; Cricetidae. The record is from RefSeq and is a predicted model, not a curated record.